Long non-coding RNA from Topomyia yanbarensis, 446 nucleotides. RefSeq lists it as uncharacterized. The record is from RefSeq and is a predicted model, not a curated record. Lineage: Eukaryota; Metazoa; Arthropoda; Insecta; Diptera; Culicidae. The transcript is spliced from 2 exons.
CUCAGAGCUAGUCGCGAUAGAAUCCGGACGCCGCCGGUUGUGGUAUAUCCGUUCGUGGUUAAACAGAAGCGCGUUGAGUGUGAACUUUUUGUGAACUAUACAUUACCUGUUUAAAUUAUCAGUAGUGAUAUUGGAAAGGGAUGUUUAAAUUUUAGUUUCAAUGAGAACAAAUUUGUGCCGAUUGGACCAUAGUUGUUUCCAUAAAUACACAUAUAGAACAUCAGAUCAUCAGUGAUGCAAUUUCCAGCUUAAAACGAAGUAACAUAUACUAUCGCUUGCGUAAUGAGUGAGAAGUUGCCAUACGAUAAUCAAGUGUGGAUUUUUAAUACGUGCGCCAAGUGCCAGUUGUUGUGUUGUAAAAUCGCUGCACCAUUGCUUCAAGUGGACUGACCCGGAUGACGCUGGGCGGAUUAAUGUGUGGAUUCAAUUCGACGGAACUUUUAUCG